Molecule: ribosomal RNA, 47 nt
Filed under: Auritella arenicolens
Lineage: Eukaryota; Fungi; Basidiomycota; Agaricomycetes; Agaricales; Inocybaceae
Description: partial large subunit ribosomal RNA
Source: RNAcentral
UUAACCUCAAAUCAGGUAGGACUACCCGCUGAACUUAAGCAUAUCAG